This 253-nucleotide ribosomal RNA is filed under the name uncultured bacterium. Its description in RNAcentral is "partial 16S ribosomal RNA". It matches the Rfam family "Bacterial small subunit ribosomal RNA", at positions 524 to 776 of the family's 1533-position model. The record is from RNAcentral.
UACGGAGGGGGCGAGCGUUAUUCGGAAUUACUGGGCGUAAAGGGCGCGUAGGCGGCUUGGUCAGUCCCGUGUGAAAUCCCUCGGCUCAACUGAGGAACUGCACGGGAAACUGCCUGGCUUGAGUUCGGGAGAGGGAAGCGGAAUUCCGGGUGUAGCGGUGAAAUGCGUAGAUAUCCGGAGGAACACCGGUGGCGAAGGCGGCUUCCUGGACCGACACUGACGCUGAGGCGCGAAAGCUAGGGGAGCAAACGGG